RNAcentral lists this ribosomal RNA (2771 nucleotides) under human gut metagenome. RNAcentral describes it as "bacterial LSU rRNA". It matches the Rfam family "Bacterial large subunit ribosomal RNA". The record is from RNAcentral.
AGCGUACACGGUGGAUGCCCUGGCAGUCAGAGGCGAUGAAGGACGUGCUAAUCUGCGAAAAGCGUCGGUAAGGUGAUAUGAACCGUUAUAACCGGCGAUGUCCGAAUGGGGAAACCCAGUGCAAUUCGUUACACUAUCGUUAACUGAAUACAUAGGUUAACGAGGCGAACCGGGGGAACUGAAACAUCUAAGUACCCCGAGGAAAAGAAAUCAACCGAGAUUCCCCCAGUAGCGGCGAGCGAACGGGGAGCAGCCCAGAGUCUGAAUCAGCUUGUGUGUUAGUGGAACGGUCUGGAAAGUCCGACGGUACAGGGUGAUAGUCCCGUACACCAAAAUGCACAGGUUGUGAACUCGAAGAGUAGGGCGGGACACGUGGUAUCCUGUCUGAAUAUGGGGGGACCAUCCUCCAAGGCUAAAUACUCCUGACUGACCGAUAGUGAACCAGUACCGUGAGGGAAAGGCGAAAAGAACCCCGGCGAGGGGAGUGAAAAAGAACCUGAAACCGUGUACGUACAAGCAGUGGGAGCACCUUCGGGUGUGACUGCGUACCUUUUGUAUAAUGGGUCAGCGACUUAUAUUCUGUAGCAAGGUUAACCGUAUAGGGGAGCCGCAGGGAAACCGAGUCUUAACUGGGCGUUAAGUUGCAGGGUAUAGACCCGAAACCCGGUGAUCUAGCCAUGGGCAGGUUGAAGGUUGGGUAACACUAACUGGAGGACCGAACCGACUAAUGUUGAAAAAUUAGCGGAUGACUUGUGGCUGGGGGUGAAAGGCCAAUCAAACCGGGAGAUAGCUGGUUCUCCCCGAAAGCUAUUUAGGUAGCGCCUCGUGAACUCAUCUUCGGGGGUAGAGCACUGUUUCGGCUAGGGGGUCAUCCCGACUUACCAACCCGAUGCAAACUACGAAUACCGAAGAAUGUUAUCACGGGAGACACACGGCGGGUGCUAACGUCCGUCGUGAAGAGGGAAACAACCCAGACCGCCAGCUAAGGUCCCAAAGUCAUGGUUAAGUGGGAAACGAUGUGGGAAGGCACAGACAGCCAGGAUGUUGGCUUAGAAGCAGCCAUCAUUUAAAGAAAGCGUAAUAGCUCACUGGUCGAGUCGGCCUGCGCGGAAGAUGUAACGGGGCUAAACCAUGCACCGAAGCUGCGGCAGCGACACUAUGUGUUGUUGGGUAGGGGAGCGUUCUGUAAGCCUGCGAAGGUGACCUGUGAGGGUUGCUGGAGGUAUCAGAAGUGCGAAUGCUGACAUAAGUAACGAUAAAGCGGGUGAAAAGCCCGCUCGCCGGAAGACCAAGGGUUCCUGUCCAACGUUAAUCGGGGCAGGGUGAGUCGACCCCUAAGGCGAGGCCGAAAGGCGUAGUCGAUGGGAAACAGGUUAAUAUUCCUGUACUUGGUGUUACUGCGAAGGGGGGACGGAGAAGGCUAUGUUAGCCGGGCGACGGUUGUCCCGGUUUAAGCAUGUAGGCUGGUUGUCCAGGCAAAUCCGGAUAAUCAAGGCUGAGGUGUGAUGACGAGGCACUACGGUGCUGAAGUAACAAAUGCCCUGCUUCCAGGAAAAGCCUCUAAGCAUCAGGUAACAUCAAAUCGUACCCCAAACCGACACAGGUGGUCAGGUAGAGAAUACCAAGGCGCUUGAGAGAACUCGGGUGAAGGAACUAGGCAAAAUGGUGCCGUAACUUCGGGAGAAGGCACGCUGAUAUGUAGGUGAAGCCCCUGCGGGUGGAGCUGAAAUCAGUCGAAGAUACCAGCUGGCUGCAACUGUUUAUUAAAAACACAGCACUGUGCAAACACGAAAGUGGACGUAUACGGUGUGACGCCUGCCCGGUGCCGGAAGGUUAAUUGAUGGGGUUAUCCGUAAGGAGAAGCUCUUGAUCGAAGCCCCGGUAAACGGCGGCCGUAACUAUAACGGUCCUAAGGUAGCGAAAUUCCUUGUCGGGUAAGUUCCGACCUGCACGAAUGGCGUAAUGAUGGCCAGGCUGUCUCCACCCGAGACUCAGUGAAAUUGAACUCGCUGUGAAGAUGCAGUGUACCCGCGGCAAGACGGAAAGACCCCGUGAACCUUUACUAUAGCUUGACACUGAACAUUGAGCCUUGAUGUGUAGGAUAGGUGGGAGGCUUUGAAGCGUGGACGCCAGUCUGCGUGGAGCCAACCUUGAAAUACCACCCUUUAAUGUUUGAUGUUCUAACGUUGGCCCCUGACCGGGGUUGCGGACAGUGUCUGGUGGGUAGUUUGACUGGGGCGGUCUCCUCCCAAAGCGUAACGGAGGAGCACGAAGGUUAGCUAAUCCUGGUCGGACAUCAGGAGGUUAGUGCAAUGGCAUAAGCUAGCUUGACUGCGAGCGUGACGGCGCGAGCAGGUGCGAAAGCAGGUCAUAGUGAUCCGGUGGUUCUGAAUGGAAGGGCCAUCGCUCAACGGAUAAAAGGUACUCCGGGGAUAACAGGCUGAUACCGCCCAAGAGUUCAUAUCGACGGCGGUGUUUGGCACCUCGAUGUCGGCUCAUCACAUCCUGGGGCUGAAGUAGGUCCCAAGGGUAUGGCUGUUCGCCAUUUAAAGUGGUACGCGAGCUGGGUUUAGAACGUCGUGAGACAGUUCGGUCCCUAUCUGCCGUGGGCGCUGGAGAAUUGAGGGGGGCUGCUCCUAGUACGAGAGGACCGGAGUGGACGCAUCACUGGUGUUCGGGUUGUCAUGCCAAUGGCACUGCCCGGUAGCUAAAUGCGGAAGAGAUAAGUGCUGAAAGCAUCUAAGCACGAAACUUGCCCCGAGAUGAGUUCU